Osmerus eperlanus (European smelt) is the source of this 131-nucleotide small nucleolar RNA. RefSeq annotates it as small nucleolar RNA SNORA44. The record is from RefSeq and is a predicted model, not a curated record. The transcript has a single exon. NCBI's taxonomy places the organism in Eukaryota, Metazoa, Chordata, Actinopteri, Osmeriformes, Osmeridae.
CAGCAUGCAAUCCUAAGGACCGGAGCUCUCCUGUAGCCCCUGGUUCUCCAAGUGCAUGCCAGAGCAACGGGGAGUCUUUGACUGUCACGGCCUUCCCGUGCCUUUGGCAGUCACUCUACUGUCCAACACGC